This 305-nucleotide ribosomal RNA is filed under the name uncultured bacterium. RNAcentral's name for it is "bacterial SSU rRNA". It matches the Rfam family "Bacterial small subunit ribosomal RNA", at positions 334 to 653 of the family's 1533-position model. The record is from RNAcentral.
AUUACCUACGGGAGGCAGCAGUGGGGAAUAUUGGACAAUGGGGGGAACCCUGAUCCAGCGACGCCGCGUGAGUGAAGAAGUAUUUCGGUAUGUAAAGCUCUAUCAGCAGGGAAGAAAGAAAUGACGGUACCUGACUAAGAAGCCCCGGCUAACUACGUGCCAGCAGCCGCGGUAAUACGUAGGGGGCAAGCGUUAUCCGGAAUUACUGGGUGUAAAGGGUGCGUAGGCGGCACGCCAAGUCAGUUGUGAAACCCGUAGGCUCAACCUACGGCUUGCAAUUGAAACUGGCGAGCUAGAGUACAGGG